Molecule: ribosomal RNA, 632 nt
Filed under: uncultured Actinomycetes bacterium
Lineage: Bacteria; Bacillati; Actinomycetota; Actinomycetes
Description: SSU rRNA
Rfam family: Bacterial small subunit ribosomal RNA
Source: RNAcentral
ACGACGGGUAGCUGGUCUGAGAGGACGACCAGCCACACUGGGACUGAGACACGGCCCAGACUCCUACGGGAGGCAGCAGUGGGGAAUCUUGCGCAAUGGGCGAAAGCCUGACGCAGCGACACCGCGUGGGGGAUGAAGGCCUUUCAGGUCGUAAACCCCUUUCGGCAGGGACGAAGCGAUCUCGUGACGGUACCUGCAGAAGAAGCCUCGGCUAACUACGUGCCAGCAGCCGCGGUAACACGUAGGAGGCGAGCGUUGUCCGGAAUCAUUGGGCGUAAAGAGCGCGCAGGCGGCUUGGCAAGUCGGGUGUGAAAUCCCGGGGCUCAACCCCGUGACUGCAUCCGAUACUGUCAGGCUAGAGGUAGGUAGGGGAGAUCGGAAUUCCUGGUGUAGCGGUGAAAUGCGCAGAUAUCAGGAGGAACACCGGUGGCGAAGGCGGAUCUCUGGGCCUUACCUGACGCUCAGGCGCGAAAGCUAGGGGAGCGAACAGGAUUAGAUACCCUGGUAGUCCUAGCCGUAAACGUUGGGUGCUAGGUGUGGGCGGAUAUCAACCCCGUCCGUGCCAAAGCUAACGCAUUAAGCACCCCGCCUGGGGAGUACGGCCGCAAGGCUAAAACUCAAAGGAAUUGACG